ACGGGUGAGUAAUGUCUGGGAAACUGCCCGAUGGAGGGGGAUAACUACUGGAAACGGUAGCUAAUACCGCAUAACGUCGCAAGACCAAAGUGGGGGACCUUCGGGCCUCACACCAUCGGAUGUGCCCAGAUGGGAUUAGCUAGUAGGUGGGGUAAUGGCUCACCUAGGCGACGAUCCCUAGCUGGUCUGAGAGGAUGACCAGCCACACUGGAACUGAGACACGGUCCAGACUCCUACGGGAGGCAGCAGUGGGGAAUAUUGCACAAUGGGCGCAAGCCUGAUGCAGCCAUGCCGCGUGUAUGAAGAAGGCCUUCGGGUUGUAAAGUACUUUCAGCGGGGAGGAAGGCGGUGGAGUUAAUAGCUUCACCGAUUGACGUUACCCGCAGAAGAAGCACCGGCUAACUCCGUGCCAGCAGCCGCGGUAAUACGGAGGGUGCAAGCGUUAAUCGGAAUUACUGGGCGUAAAGCGCACGCAGGCGGUCUGUCAAGUCGGAUGUGAAAUCCCCGGGCUUAACCUGGGAACUGCAUUCGAAACUGGCAGGCUAGAGUCUUGUAGAGGGGGGUAGAAUUCCAGGUGUAG
This 580-nucleotide ribosomal RNA is filed under the name uncultured Enterobacteriaceae bacterium. RNAcentral's name for it is "bacterial SSU rRNA". It matches the Rfam family "Bacterial small subunit ribosomal RNA", at positions 102 to 678 of the family's 1533-position model. Lineage: Bacteria; Pseudomonadati; Pseudomonadota; Gammaproteobacteria; Enterobacterales; Enterobacteriaceae. The record is from RNAcentral.